UUUUGGAUAAAGCAUCCUUAUGUGUCUGGGGGAGUGACAUUCUCUGCCUGGUGGCCCAGCCCUGGCAGAUUCAAAUGCUCCAGCCAGUUUCUAUAAAUGUGAACAUUUCAAUUGGGCAGCAGCUGCCAUGGUAACUGGCUGAAUCUUAGAACUUAGGAACUGGGAACAGACCAGAGACCAGGUAACUUCCAAUAAGGCUCUUUUGAAUUGCGCUGGUGUGUGGAAGCUCACUAAGGAGACCUGACUUUGCCCAAGUGCUCCAGACUGCUGACAGCCAGGGCUUCCCUCUCUCUAGGAAGGGAUCUUCAGGGGCUUUGCUGGCCAUAUUUGACAGACGAGAUUUUUCUUGGUACACUGAAGUGAUAGGACUGGGGACGGGCAUAGCAAAGCAGGCAGAGGAAGAUCACUGUCACCUUUAAUGUUCUGUUCCAGUCAAACUUGCAAGUGACAAUCCAUGCUUUCUGUAUGCUGUGUGCUCAGUGUUUGACCCCAGCUGGAGGAGGGGUCAAAUAGGACAACACAUACAGCUGUGCAUGUGCAUUCAGAUGUUCAGGUUGUGCACUGUGUAAGUCCAUCCAGGCUGUGUGCAUGACACUCCCUGAAGUGUGCUGUAUGCCAGCACUGAGAAUGGAGGUAACAAAAUAAAAAGGAGAUGCUUCAGGGAUUUUCUAUUCA
This 675-nucleotide long non-coding RNA is filed under the name Vulpes vulpes (red fox). Its description in RNAcentral is "lncRNA (ENSVVUG00000017696.1)". The record is from RNAcentral. Lineage: Eukaryota; Metazoa; Chordata; Mammalia; Carnivora; Canidae.